AUUGAACGCUGGCGGCAGGCCUAACACAUGCAAGUCGAACGGUAACAGGAAGCAGCUUGCUGCUUCGCUGACGAGUGGCGGACGGGUGAGUAAUGUCUGGGAAACUGCCUGAUGGAGGGGGAUAACUACUGGAAACGGUAGCUAAUACCGCAUAACGUCGCAAGACCAAAGAGGGGGACCUUAGGGCCUCUUGCCAUCGGAUGUGCCCAGAUGGGAUUAGCUAGUAGGUGGGGUAACGGCUCACCUAGGCGACGAUCCCUAGCUGGUCUGAGAGGAUGACCAGCCACACUGGAACUGAGACACGGUCCAGACUCCUACGGGAGGCAGCAGUGGGGAAUAUUGCACAAUGGGCGCAAGCCUGAUGCAGACAUGCCGCGUGUAUGAAGAAGGCCUUCGGGUUGUAAAGUACUUUCAGCGGGGAGGAAGGGAGUAAAGUUAAUACCUUUGCUCAUUGACGUUACCCGCAGAAGAAGCACCGGCUAACUCCGUG
Molecule: ribosomal RNA, 490 nt
Filed under: uncultured bacterium
Lineage: Bacteria
Description: partial 16S ribosomal RNA
Rfam family: Bacterial small subunit ribosomal RNA
Source: RNAcentral